CNCCUUUGACGUUAGCGGCGGACGGGUGAGUAACACGUGGGUAACCUACCUAUAAGACUGGGAUAACUUCGGGAAACCGGAGCUAAUACCGGAUAAUAUUUCGAACCGCAUGGUUCGAUAGUGAAAGGUGGUUUUGCUAUCACUUAUAGAUGGACCCGCGCCGUAUUAGCUAGUUGGUAAGGUAACGGCUUACCAAGGCGACGAUACGUAGCCGACCUGAGAGGGUGAUCGGCCACACUGGAACUGAGACACGGUCCAGACUCCUACGGGAGGCAGCAGGU
RNAcentral lists this ribosomal RNA (281 nucleotides) under uncultured Staphylococcus sp. Its description in RNAcentral is "partial 16S ribosomal RNA". It matches the Rfam family "Bacterial small subunit ribosomal RNA", at positions 81 to 354 of the family's 1533-position model. The record is from RNAcentral. Lineage: Bacteria; Bacillati; Bacillota; Bacilli; Caryophanales; Staphylococcaceae.